This 253-nucleotide ribosomal RNA is filed under the name Clupea pallasii (Pacific herring). RNAcentral describes it as "partial 16S ribosomal RNA". Lineage: Eukaryota; Metazoa; Chordata; Actinopteri; Clupeiformes; Clupeidae. The record is from RNAcentral.
AGACGAGAAGACCCUAUGGAGCUUUAGACGCCCACCAAUCACGAAAAGCAGGUCUCGCUCAACGGACCCCCAAACAACGUGAUACUGGCACAAACGUCUUCGGUUGGGGCGACCGCGGGAGAGAAAGAAGCUCCCGAGAGGAUUGGGGCUACCCUAAAACCAAGAGCUACACCUCUAAGUCACAAAACAUUUGACCAAAAAUGAUCCGGCUACAUGCCGAUUAACGAACCAAGUUACCCUAGGGAUAACAGCG